This 561-nucleotide ribosomal RNA is filed under the name uncultured bacterium. RNAcentral describes it as "bacterial SSU rRNA". It matches the Rfam family "Bacterial small subunit ribosomal RNA", at positions 338 to 916 of the family's 1533-position model. The record is from RNAcentral.
CCUACGGGAGGCAGCAGUGGGGAAUCUUGCGCAAUGGGCGAAAGCCUGACGCAGCAACGCCGCGUGCGGGAAGAAGGCUUUCGGGCUGUAAACCGCUUUCAGCAGGAACGAAAAUGACGGUACCUGCAGAAGAAGGAGCGGCCAACUAUGUGCCAGCAGCCGCGGUGAUACAUAGGCUUCAAGCGUUGUCCGGAUUUAUUGGGCGUAAAGAGUUCGUAGGCGGUCAAGUAAGUCGGGUGUGAAAAUUCUGGGCUCAACCCAGAGACGCCACCCGAUACUGCUUAACUUGAGUUCGAUAGGGGAGUGGGGAAUUCCUAGUGUAGCGGUGAAAUGCGCAGAUAUUAGGAGGAACACCGGUGGCGAAGGCGCCACUCUGGAUCGAUACUGACGCUGAGGAACGAAAGCAUGGGUAGCAAACAGGAUUAGAUACCCUGGUAGUCCAUGCCGUAAACGGUGGGCACUAGGUGUGGGUUUCUAUUAACGAAAUCCGCGCCGUCGCUAACGCAUUAAGUGCCCCGCCUGGGGAGUCGGUCGCAAGACUAAAACUCAAAGGAUUGACGG